UCUGGUGGUAAUAGCGAAGAGGUCACACCUGUUCCCAUGCCGAACACAGUAGUUAAGCUCUUCAGCGCCGAUGGUAGUUGGGUUCGCCCU
RNAcentral lists this ribosomal RNA (90 nucleotides) under Terribacillus saccharophilus. The record is from RNAcentral. Lineage: Bacteria; Bacillati; Bacillota; Bacilli; Caryophanales; Bacillaceae.